RNAcentral lists this long non-coding RNA (500 nucleotides) under Chrysolophus pictus (golden pheasant). Its description in RNAcentral is "lncRNA (ENSCPIG00010006934.1)". Lineage: Eukaryota; Metazoa; Chordata; Aves; Galliformes; Phasianidae. The record is from RNAcentral.
AGCAUGGAUUUAACUGAAAAAUAAAGCUGAAUCUCAUCUCCUUUUGAGAGAUAAUGGUGCAAUUACCUGAGUCUUGUAGCUGGCUGACGUUUUCCAUGCAAAUGUGAAGUGUUUCCAUGAAGAUUUUGUGCUGUGACCAAUUAUCUUCAGGAAAUAGCCUUGCUGUAAUUGCCAGCCUAAAAUGGAGUUAAUUAAGAAGGUCUUCGUAGGACUGCAAGCUUCCCUACUGGGCAAAUUUAAGGUUGUUGAAAAGAUGACCAUCUUCUGGAAGGCCACCGGGAAAACUAUAAUGGAAGUUCAAGGACAAGCCUGGGUGCUACAUCAAACAAAGAUGAGCUAACUUAAAGUACAGAAGAAAAGCACAUGCCAGAACACUUUUUUAAGUUAGAAGAAGUUAGAAGAAAAGCACAUGCCAGAACACUUUUUCCUGACUGGAAAAUAGUCACAAAGAUUAAAAACAUUGAAAUAAAAAGAAAAAAGAAGAAGAAAGAAAUUAAAAA